Molecule: ribosomal RNA, 484 nt
Filed under: uncultured bacterium
Lineage: Bacteria
Description: partial 16S ribosomal RNA
Rfam family: Bacterial small subunit ribosomal RNA
Source: RNAcentral
AUUGAACGCUGGCGGCAGGCCUAACACAUGCAAGUCGAGCGGAUGAAGGGAGCUUGCUCCUGGAUUCAGCGGCGGACGGGUGAGUAAUGCCUAAGAAUCUGCCUGGUAGUGGGGGAUAACGUCCGGAAACGGGCGCUAAUACCGCAUACGUCCUGAGGGAGAAAGUGGGGGAUCUUCGGACCUCACGCUAUCAGAUGAUCCUAGGUCGGAUUAGCUAGUUGGUGGGGUAAAGGCCUACCAAGGCGACGAUCCGUAACUGGUCUGAGAGGAUGAUCAGUCACACUGGAACUGAGACACGGUCCAGACUCCUACGGGAGGCAGCAGUGGGGAAUAUUGGACAAUGGGCGAAAGCCUGAUCCAGCCAUGCCGCGUGUGUGAAGAAGGUCUUCGGAUUGUAAAGCACUUUUAGCUGGGAGGAAGGGCAGUAAGUUAAUACCUUGCUGUUUUGACGUUACCUGCAGAAUAAGCACCGGCUAACUACGUG